Molecule: ribosomal RNA, 380 nt
Filed under: Metacrangonyx remyi
Lineage: Eukaryota; Metazoa; Arthropoda; Malacostraca; Amphipoda; Metacrangonyctidae
Description: partial 16S ribosomal RNA
Source: RNAcentral
UAGCAUAAUAAAUUGUUUCUUAAUUGGGGACUAGAAUGAAGGGUCCCACGGCUUAUAAAUUUAUUUAUUUUAGUAAAAUAAAUUUUACUAUAAGUAAGAAUACUUAUAUCUUAUAAAGGGACGAUAAGACCCUAGAAGCUUUAAUUUUUAAAAAUAUAUAAUAGUUUUAUUUAUUCUUUGUAUUUAUAAUAAUUUUAAUUGGGGAAAUAGAAAUUUUUAUAAUAUUUUUACAACAGUAGUUAAUCUUUUUAUAAGAAAACUAGUAUUAGUUACUCUAGGGAUAACAGCGCAAUAAUUUUGGGUAGGCCUUAUACAUAAUAUUGAUUGCGACCUCGAUGUUGAAUUAAAAUAUCCCUGUAGAGUAGAAACUAUAGCGGAGG